CUUUUAUAGCUGACCCUCUUUAAUGAAAAUUGGCUUCCCCUGGAGAUCUCAUAUGUCCAUUUAUCUCUUCAACUUCUAGGCCUACCGUGUGCUAUGGACAAGUCUUGGUUGCUGUUUGAAUAAGCCUGUCACUUAGGCCAGAUUCCACCUUCCCACUUUCACCUAAGCCUUGGUCCCAACCAACCCAAAUAUUGCUUCUGAAGCAUUCCUGGAAAGAAAACCCAUGAGAUUUGUACACUCUGUCUUUCUGGAACAAAGUUCAGAGGUACUUUUCUACUUCUUCAAACAAAUCCUUUAGUAGGAAGCCCCCAGUGCCUCUGAG
Long non-coding RNA from Capra hircus (goat), 322 nucleotides. NCBI's taxonomy places the organism in Eukaryota, Metazoa, Chordata, Mammalia, Artiodactyla, Bovidae. The record is from Ensembl.